Molecule: ribosomal RNA, 295 nt
Filed under: uncultured bacterium
Lineage: Bacteria
Description: partial 16S ribosomal RNA
Source: RNAcentral
GGACUACAAGGGUUUCUAAUCCGUUUUGCUCCCCACGCUUUCGUGCCUCAAUGUCAGUAGCAGAAUAGUUAACUGCCUUCGCCGUUAUUGAUGUUCUUCCAUAUAUCUACGCAUUUUACCGCUCCACAUGGAGUUCCGUUAACCUCUCCUGCACUCAAGCAAAACAGUAUUACCAGCUUCCACGAGGUUGAGCCUCGAUUUCCCACUAAUAACUUAUCAUGCCAUCUACGCACCCUUUACGCCCAAUGAUUCCGGAUAACGUUCGCCACCUACGUCUUACCGCGGCUGCUGGCAC